This 941-nucleotide long non-coding RNA is filed under the name Olea europaea subsp. europaea. Lineage: Eukaryota; Viridiplantae; Streptophyta; Magnoliopsida; Lamiales; Oleaceae. The record is from RNAcentral.
UUCCUUUCCUUUUUUUAUUCAUUUAUUUUUAUUUUUUUGUAAUCUUAUUAGUCCAGAAAUUAAAAUUCAGCCAAAGAAGGAUAAUGUGGAAAAUUUCCAUGACAAAAUAGGACUACUUACGCGGUACAUUCUUUCAGGGACGACACAAAUGAGGAAAGACAUAAUUUCAAUUUUCAGGCGUGGCAAUAUUUAGAGUUAUGUUGACGUCUUACAAAAUAAAUGAUGCGUCUUGUACAUGUUAAUAGCAGAACCUAUGAAUGCCAAAACUUGUAGGUUGAUUCAGAAGACAUCCUAGCAGAAAAAGCGAUAGACCAUAUAUAGAGUUUUUCCUUCUAUUGAAACCAACACUUGCUCCACUUAUUCAGUUAUGGUGUUACAUUUCAUUUGCAUUCUAGCUCUAUUCUCAUCAUUUUGGUGUCUGAUUCUUGCAGGUGUUGUUGAUGGAAAAAAUACGCCCGAAGAUGAUGCUAUUCCAGGUUAUAUUAGUGGUGCCAUUACUAGGCACUGUGCUUGUGACUCAUUCCCAAAAUGUUGUGCAUUAUUCUCAAACUAGGCUCCUAGUUGUUCCUGAAAUUUGUCCUGAAACUAUAUGAUGCAGGAGUCUUAAAAGUAGGAAAAUAACUAGCGGAAGCAACAGCUGCCACAAUUGCUUAAUUACUGUGAGUUUAGCCGAAAUGUGUUAUUUUCUGUUGCUUUUAUGUGCAGGGUAAUUUGAUUCUUUCAGAUAUAGGCUUGGCUGAGCCCGAGAAACAGAGUAUAUCAUGCUGCUCUUAAUGGUAACAACAGCAUGCCUACUGUUUUGCAUCAGAAAGACGAUUGAUAAUAUUCAUGGCCUCACUCUGAAAAGUUAUAUAGUCUUGGAUCCUUGCUACUGUUAGUGUUGCUACUGAUUAUGGUGGUUUCCACCAUACUUCUUUAACUUUCUUAUGAAUAAACGGGUG